This is a microRNA precursor of Gallus gallus (chicken), 103 nucleotides long. Ensembl annotates it as gga-let-7d. Its record names the gene gga-let-7d. The record is from Ensembl. NCBI's taxonomy places the organism in Eukaryota, Metazoa, Chordata, Aves, Galliformes, Phasianidae.
AUUGGGCUCCUAGGAAGAGGUAGUGGGUUGCAUAGUUUUAGGGCAGGGAUUUUGCUCACAAGGAGGUAACUAUACAACCUGCUGCCUUUCUUAGGGCUUUAUU